This is a non-coding RNA of Coniochaeta ligniaria NRRL 30616, 86 nucleotides long. Lineage: Eukaryota; Fungi; Ascomycota; Sordariomycetes; Coniochaetales; Coniochaetaceae. The record is from the annotation of a GenBank genome assembly.
GUCCCUGUGGCGCAAUGGUCAUAGCGCUGGGUGGACCUCUUAAUCACCCAAAUUGAGAGGUGCUAGGUUCGAUUCCUAGAAGGGCA